CCGMGAAUGGCUCAUUACAACAGCCGUUGUUUCUUGGAUCUUGAUAUACUUGGAUAACUGUGGUAAUUCUAGAGCUAAUACAUGCAACCAAGCUCUGACCUUACGGAAGGAGCGCAUUUAUUAGACCAAGACCAAUCAGGCUCGUCCUGUAAUCUGGUGACUCUGAAUAACUUUGCUGAUCACACGAUCUAGCAUCGGKGACAUAUCUUUCAAGUGUCUGCCCUAUCAACUUUCGAUGGUAGUUUAUGUGCCUACCAUGGUGGUAACGGGUAACGGAGAAUAAGGGUUCGACUCCGGAGAGGGAGCCUGAGAAAUGGCUACCACAUCCAAGGAAGGCAGCAGGCGCGCAAAUUACCCACUCUCAGUACGAGGAGGUAGUGACGAAAAAUAACGAGACGGUUCUCUAUGAGGCCCGUCAUCGGAAUGGGUACAAUUUA
Molecule: ribosomal RNA, 437 nt
Filed under: Onyx sp. 201796758
Lineage: Eukaryota; Metazoa; Nematoda; Chromadorea; Desmodorida; Desmodoridae
Description: SSU rRNA
Rfam family: Eukaryotic small subunit ribosomal RNA
Source: RNAcentral